This is a regulatory RNA element of Clostridium chromiireducens, 84 nucleotides long. It matches the Rfam family "Cyclic di-GMP-II riboswitch aptamer". NCBI's taxonomy places the organism in Bacteria, Bacillati, Bacillota, Clostridia, Eubacteriales, Clostridiaceae. The record is from Rfam.
AUCAAGAUUGGAAGCUAUGAAAAAUUCUUUAUAUUUGGGCACUUUAAGGAUUUAGAGCUAGUUGUGCAACCGACCAAUUUAAAC